This 130-nucleotide transfer RNA is filed under the name Candidatus Woesearchaeota archaeon. RNAcentral's name for it is "tRNA-Ala". The record is from RNAcentral. Lineage: Archaea; Nanobdellati; Candidatus Woesearchaeota.
GGGCCUGUAGCUCAGCCUGGAGGUUAAUACAACCGCGCAAUAGAGCAUCGCCCUUGCAAGGCGGGGGUCUCGGGUUCGAAGCAGGUCCUGUCAGACAUGUUGACGGACUACGAAAGUCCCGACGGGUCCA